CGCAGUCCGCGCUCUCAUCUGUAUUUCCGCCCGCGCGAAAUGAGUGUAGAUUCCUGGUCUUGCAGCUGCGGUCCUUUGCUGUCCCGCGCCAUCGCGCGCCAUCGCACGCCAUCGCAAGCCACCGCACGCCAUCUCUAGAAAUCUGCAGACAUCCUGAUUUUUCCCGCGCUGUCUGCCACGUCUCCGCCGCCGCUCGACGCCAGGACGCCGGGAGUGUCACACAACUGCUGCCCCAUGCAUGUGAGAGAUGUCCUCUGGGACAGCAUGGAUCCUGAGGUUCCAGGAUUGUCAGCUGACCUCUGUCCUGUGUGCCCAGCGGCCCCAGCGGCCCCAGGUGACGUGUCUUCAAGAAGAGGCUGAACUGUGGUGCUUGUAAGAUGGGCCUGCUGUGUGCAGAGGCUCCGUGGGAUGUGUUGUCUUCAUAGCAGCAGGGCGCUGGACCAUGGGUCCCUGAGGUCUCAGCCGUAGAUCCAAGGAUGCUCCAAGGAAGUCCUAAGACCCUGGAGUUCUGGGUUUGCUCAUAUUUCCCACCAUGAAUCUCUUGGUGGUGUUUGUGGACACCAGAGGGACAGAGACUAGCGAGACCACCACAUAAAGCAUUUCCAGAGCUGCUCCCUGCUGCCUGCUCAGAGCACCCUGGAUCCACUAUUCACUUUGCACAAGAUUCGGGAUCCAGACAUGGAAGACUUCAGCUGCCUCGGAGGACUGUGGACAGGGAAGGCCAGCCCUGCAUCCCCCUGUCCAUGCCUGGAAUGACUUUAAUAACCAAGAGUUUUACUCUUGAAUUUGUAGCUGUCGUUCACUUUUUAUCCACUUAUUCAAUAAACCUUACAGAAUUGCU
Cebus imitator (Panamanian white-faced capuchin) is the source of this 841-nucleotide long non-coding RNA. RefSeq lists it as uncharacterized. The transcript has 6 exons. NCBI's taxonomy places the organism in Eukaryota, Metazoa, Chordata, Mammalia, Primates, Cebidae. The record is from RefSeq and is a predicted model, not a curated record.